CAGAGAUCAGGAUCAGCGAGAUAACAGCCAAGUUUUCCAAGCGGACCUGUUCAGUUAGCUUGGCAAUGAAGUUCCCACUACUUGAGGUUUGACACCAAAUAACCUGAAAGAAACUGAUGUUAACUCAAGGGUUACUUUCCUAUUGUUCUGUCUCCCUGUUCCUGCCUUAUAAGGAAGCGUCUGUAAAUCAAACCCCAUCAGCGUAUAACAG
RNAcentral lists this long non-coding RNA (211 nucleotides) under Fukomys damarensis (Damara mole-rat). Its description in RNAcentral is "lncRNA (ENSFDAG00000032803.1)". Lineage: Eukaryota; Metazoa; Chordata; Mammalia; Rodentia; Bathyergidae. The record is from RNAcentral.